This 28-nucleotide non-coding RNA is filed under the name Mus musculus (house mouse). Lineage: Eukaryota; Metazoa; Chordata; Mammalia; Rodentia; Muridae. The record is from RNAcentral.
ACAGGAAAUGCUAGAUCCAUGCUCAGGG